GGGGUCGCCCGCGGGCGGGCCUCCGGGUUAGGGGUGCCGGGUUAGGGCACCUCGUGAUGCGGGGACCCCGCUUCCACCACCCCCCACCGCCACCGCCACCGAGGAAGGCGGAAGGAGGAACGAGGGGAGGGGCGACGCGGAGGGCCGGGAUCCCCAAAUGCCGGUUCUCCCCACCACGCCCCAGGUCCCGGAGGGUUGAAUGCUACACUCACAGGCUUUCCGUCUUCACAAGCGGGAACUGUAAAUUCUGGCUCCGCUACCGACUGCCUGUGUGACUGAGCAAGUCACUUAACGUCUCCGAACUCUUCUUAUGUAUUGCUACCUCCCUUCCCCUCCUGCUAGGCUGCUGGCUGGCCGGCUGCUGAGGAAGUGUCGCUGCUGGGUGUACGGAGCUCCAGUUCCAGGAGGUGCCGCAGAGUGAAUUCAGAUGUCUACCACCAACUAGCUGAGUAUUGGUUUGGGUCCCUCAGCCUCUCUGAGCCUCUUUUUUUUAAUGUUUAUUUAUUUUUGAGAGAGUAGGGGAGGGGCAGAGAGAGAAGGGGACAGAGGGUCCAAAGCAGGCUCCCCACCGUCAUUGCAGAGUGCCAUGCCAUGCUCGGUUGGAACCCAGGAACAGUGAGAUGAUAACCUGAGCCAAAGUCUGACGCUUAACCAACUGAGCCACCCAGGCGCUCCUCUCCGAGCCUCUUUUGAGCCUCUUUCCUCUUCUGUAUCAUGGAGAUAUUAAUGAUGGUGUUGUCUUCAAGAUUAUGUGAAAUGACCUGUAUGAAGCCUUUGGCUUAGUAUCUGGCAUUUGAAAGGUGCUCCUAACGGUAACCGUAACGUGAGUGAGUGAAAGUAGACAAACUCAUGAGACUACUUCUGGGAGGAUGCCAUAUUGGAGAUUUCAGACUUUAUUCCGAGAAAAUUGGAAGCUCUUAAAAGAUUUCAUCCAGGGGCAUGGCAUGCAUCCUUGUGUUUUACACUGAUUUUUCUGCCAGCUUCCUGGAAAGUGGAUGGCAGGAGCAGAGACUGUGAGCAUGGGGCACAGAGACCAGUUUGCAAACUGCCAUCAGUGGAGAUAUAAUAGGAGCUGGGGGGGGGGGGGGGGGGGGCGCCUGGGUGGCUCAGUCCGUUAAGCUUCCGACUUCGGCUCAGGUCAUGAUCUCAGGUCAUGAUCUCACGGUCCGUGGGUUCGAGCCCCGUGUCGGGCUCUGUGCUGACAGCUCAGAGCCUGGAGCCUAUUUCGGAUUCUGUCCCUCUCUCUCUCUCUGACCCUCCCCUAUUCAUGCUCUGUCUCUCUCUGUCUCAAAAAUAAAUAAACAUUAAAAAAAAUUUUUUUUUUUUAAAUAAUAGGAGCUGGGGCAAUGACAGCAGGAAUGAAAAAAGAGGACACGCAAAUAAUACCUACCAUUUGGGGAGCAAAAGCAAUUUGCUUAUUAUAUUGCCUCUCCUUUUCAUACCAUAUGUGGGGGCCUUACCCUAUCGUAUGAAUAAGAAAAUUGAAGUCACCGAGGAAAUGAAAGAGCUGGAAUUUGAACCCUUUUCCACAUGCGUGGAGAGCCUUAAUCAUUUCCUUCCUCAGUAUCACUUUUAUGUCAACACUGCUUAAGACUCAAGAACAAGGAGACGCGGGGCUGGCUCCAUCAGAAGAGCAUGCCACUCUUGAUCUGGAGGUGAUGCUCAUGUUGAACCUUCGAUGGCGUCCACAGUUCUCUGCACGCUUUCAACACCCACAGUCCAGUAUAAGGGCGGACUGAGGGCUAAAGGAACUGCCGUGUGGUCUACCUGCGCCCCCUACCUUAGACUUCAGUGCUCUCAGCUUCAAGGAUAAAGAUACCUAUGCGCAGCGAAGUCUAAGGAACCCAAGUCACAAAACAGAAAUAGAGGAACAGCAACUCUGGGAGAACAACACUAGGGGCAGAGCCUGGACACUAGAGAUGGGCCCCUUGGAAGGACUACAGCCACAAGACAGGGAAAUGGCUGGGCCGACCGUGCCUCGUACAGCAGGCAGUGGCCUUGCAGCCUCAAGACCUCAGCGUUAGAUAUGGGCAUUGGGUAAGCAGGUGUGGGCUUGGAAAUGGGCAUGUCAUGGUGGACAAGCUUUCAUUGGACUGCACUGCACCCAGUCAGCUUCAGUGUCCAGCCUUGUCCCAGGAGAUACGAGGAGAAACCAAGUCCCAAUUCUCAAAUUACUUGUGUUUUAGCAAAAUAUCUUUUGGUCCAAAUAAUUAACACAAAUUGCUAUGGAUUGAACAUCUACCGGGUGCAAGGCAGCCUAUGUGCAUGUUCUCACUUAAUCCUCACCUGGGGGAGGGGUAUCAUUCUAGAACCCUGGUGUACCUAAGUCUUCUUAGGCGACUCUUCCUGUUGUCGCCUGAAAGCCAAUCUUAGCAUGAAAUUAAUGUAUAGGAGGCAAGGGUAUGGUUAUAAAUCUCACGCUAGGAACAUUAAAAAGUGAGAGAGGUCUUUCCUGCAGGUUUCUUAAGGAGACAAAGUGGUGUCACAACAAACAUCAAGAUGCAAGGCUUCCUAGAUAUCCACUUACAACAUCCUUUUUUCUGAAUUCCACUCCUGACAUCACCUUCACACAUUUCUACAGAGGCCUCCUCAGCAUCUCUCUCCCUCCUAUGAUACUCCUCCAGCUCCCCCCACCCCCACUUCCCAAGUCCUUCCCUCUAGGGGUCUCCCUUAAUUUUAACUAGCCAUCUCUCAGUGACCCCAAAAGAUGUGAGGAAAAGAGUAGGAAGCUGCAAAAAAAAAAAAAAAAAAAAAAAAAAAAAAAAGACAAUGCCCAUGAAUAUAGAUCUUUACGUUUACAAAUGGCUUGCAUAUACAUUAUCCCACCUGAGCCCUUUUCAGACUCAGAAUAACCUGAGAAAACUGAGACUCAGAGAUAAAGUGAGUUGCUUAAAGUCCACUAGUGAGUGUUGAGCUGCACCUUGAAACCUAGGCCUCUUUCCUUCAGACUACAUCUGGCCCAGGGCUGCAAAUGCCUGGACAAGCCCAUCAAACUGUCAAUAACACUUCCCCAGCUACAGCUGCCAAAACUGUCGCCCUGGUGCCCCAGGGCAAGACUCAAGCCAUGCCCAGAAGACCGAGUCACCAGCAAUGGAAGGAAGUACAGGGACGAAAGGACUCAGAAAUCAAAGAUACUUGUAAUAAAUGCCUUCAAAAAGAUCCAGGAAAUUGGCUUCUCUCAAGUGACUUCUAUCAAAACCAAGGUGCAAAGUCCUGUGUAUUUAUUACCUGAGGAUGACCUUCUGAAUAACCCACAAAUAAUGGUCAGGCUUCUUGCAAGAGAGUGUGUGGGUCAAGGAAAUGUUUUUGAAAUUAACAAAUGUUUUGAGGGGAAAAAGAAACUAUCCCAUGCCUGUUGGUGAUUUCUCCCAAACCUGUCUCUGUUUUGUUUGUUUUUUUCCUAAUUGUAUAGAUCAAAUUUGCUUUAGGAAAUUUAGAAAAUUCAGACAAGUACAAAGAAGCAAGGGGGAGGAAGAUAUUGUCAGCCCAUCAGCCACAGGCAGAAUUAACCUUUUGGCCUAUUUUCUUCCAGUUAUUUGCCAUGCAUUUUUCUACAACUUUUCAUAGUUGAGAUCAUGAUAUAUAAAAAUGAUAUCCAGCUUUUGUCCCCCAUUUAAAGCAUAACAAACAUUUCCUGUAUGUAUAUAAUAAUACAUGUAUUCAUUCCCUUUAGCCCUUAUUAGAUGCAAGGCAGACAUUCUUAGGCAAGUUGUUAGUGGUUUAUUGCACUAUUUGUUGGCUGUAUGAGAGACAGUUUAGGGGCUAAACUGACUCACUGACUCUGGAGUCGGGCUGCCUGGGUUUGAAUCCUGACUCUGCCACCUCCUGGUUACAUGACCUUGGGCAAGUUAAUUUACCCCUCUGGCUCCAUUUCCCUACAUAUAAAAUGAGGAUCGUAGUAUCUGCCUCACAGAGUAGUUCUAAAGAUUAAAUGAGUUAAUUACAUGAAAAGUGCUUAGAAUAAUAAAUGGCAUGGUAAGCGCUAAGUAGUAGCUAUUAGCAAUCUAUGGUAUAUGUGGUCACAUCAUAAAUUAUUCAGCUAUUCUCUUGCAGCUGGACAGUAAGAUUGUUUUCAAUUUUUCCACUAUUAUAGAUAGUCCUAUAAACCAUUUACUGCAUGCAUUAGUGGAGGAAAGGCAGAUUGAAACUCUGCUGUGGAAAAAUUCAAAUGCCAAGAUAAGGUAUUGAGAAAUUCAGGAUAAAUGACCCAGGAGAAAAACUCUCCUUAGAAGGAGGUAUCCAGUCACGUUGAAGAGAUGACAUUUAAUUCUAUGGCAAACAUUUGUUGAGCUCUGUGCACCAGGAAAGGGUCUUGGCUAGAUCAGGGAACACAGAGAUGAAAAGGGGACACCAAGACAAACAAGAGACAAGACUGAAUCUCAAGGAGCUUUAUUCAGUUACAAAAAUAUCACAUUUGUUAUGUCCAGGAGUGAAUUUUCACCAUGACAUAUCUCUAUGGUUCACUUAUGUGGACAGGGAUUACAAAACGCCUGAUUUCAAAGGACCAAUGCAGUAGGAAAUACAGAGACAGCCAGUCUUCCUUCACGCCCUUAUGGAGAGGACUUGAUCAAGAACGCCUAUUUCACAGAAGAGAGGCGCCUGGGUGGCUCAGUCGGUUGAGUGUCCAACUUCAGCUCAGGUCAUGAUCUCACAGUUUGUGAGUUCGAGCCCAGUGUCGGGCUCUGUGCUGACAGCUCAGAGCCUGAGGCCUGCUUCAGAUUCUGUGUCUCCCUCUCUCUCUCUGCCCCUCCCCAGCUCCUGCUCGCACUCUGUCUCUGUCAAAAAUAAAUAAACUUAAAAAAAAUUUUUAAAAAGCCACCAACCAUGCCUAAGUAUAGCAGUGCUGCAUGGCCAGGGGAGCCCUCUCUCCCGAUAUUGUCCUGAGUGAGGGA
Molecule: long non-coding RNA, 4892 nt
Organism: Panthera uncia (snow leopard)
Lineage: Eukaryota; Metazoa; Chordata; Mammalia; Carnivora; Felidae
Exons: 3
Source: RefSeq, a predicted model, not a curated record